Molecule: transfer RNA, 78 nt
Filed under: Stutzerimonas stutzeri
Lineage: Bacteria; Pseudomonadati; Pseudomonadota; Gammaproteobacteria; Pseudomonadales; Pseudomonadaceae
Also listed under: 1 other name
Description: Pseudomonas stutzeri tRNA-Pro(cgg)
Source: RNAcentral
CGCUGCCGAUGGCAUAGGGGCUGCCCGGGUCGUUCGGGCCGGCUUGCAGGCUGUUGUUCGGACCCUUGCGGUGCUGGC